RNAcentral lists this unclassified non-coding RNA (225 nucleotides) under Mortierella microzygospora. RNAcentral's name for it is "partial internal transcribed spacer region". The stretch from base 1 to 46 matches the Rfam family "Eukaryotic small subunit ribosomal RNA", at positions 1786 to 1831 of the family's 1831-position model. The record is from RNAcentral. Lineage: Eukaryota; Fungi; Mortierellomycota; Mortierellomycetes; Mortierellales; Mortierellaceae.
AAGUCGUAACAAGGUUUCCGUAGGUGAACCUGCGGAAGGAUCAUUCAUAAUAAGUGUUUUAUGGCACUUUUUAAAUCCAUAUCCACCUUGUGUGCAAUGUUACUCUGCGGAAAAUUUAUUUUCCAACGAGUCAAUAUCAACCUUUUUAUUAAACAAAUUUGUCUGAAAAAUAUUAUGAAUACUUAAUUCAAAAUACAACUUUCAACAACGGAUCUCUUGGCUCUC